AGUCAAGUCAGUGCAGCAGGUCCUGCUCAGAGAAGAGGCAGCCAAAGAUGCCUGUCACAUCCACCCUAGGAAAGGACAGGAAGGCAAUACAGCAAACAAGGGAAUUAAUCCUGAAUGCUCAUGAGUAGCACCUAAAGAGCAACCACAUGAACUUGGAAGGGGACACUUUCUGCUGAUUCCUGAGUUCUGAUUUCACCCUCAGACCUGAUCUACAUCUGCUUGUUUGACUAGAAGACUAUAGGAGCAGUCCUCUGAGAGGCACAACAAGCAGCUGACCAAGACAGAAGCAGAAACUUUCACUCAUCCAAUGGAGAGAAGCUUGUUAACCCUGUGGUUGAAUUAGUGAAAGGCUGGAGAAUUUGUGGAGGAAGGUGAUUUCACUGAAAAACUUGUAAUCUCAACUAACCUGGACACCUGCAAUCUCUCAGAUUCUGAACCACCAUCCAAGCAGCAUGCACUAGCAGACAGGAGCAGUCCUCUGAGAGGCACAUCAAGCAGAUGACCAAGACUGAAGCAGAAACUUUCACUCAUCCAAUGGACAAAAGCUGGGGAACCCUGUGGUUGAAUUGGUGCAAGGCUGGAAGAAUUUGUGGAGGAAGGUGAUUUCACUGAAAAACCUGCAAUCUCAACAAACCUGGACCCCUGCAAUCUCUCAGAUUCUGAACCACUAUCCAAGCAGCAUGCACUAGCAGGAGACAGUGAUGGCAUUAGGACCUUAAUAGGAUCUGCCUGCAGUAGCUGAGUACCGUGAAACCAUCUCCAACUUGCUCCACGGCCGACAGGCCAAGCAGAAGCACCCUGAGCCAGUCCCAGGCUUUGACAGCUGCUGAAGCCCAGAAGCUGUGAUUGGACUGGGGAGACUCUCACUGCCUAUAAUCUGCUGUGAUUCCCUCUUGGAAGAUAACCCACUGCAUUGGACAAUAUUCCUGUAGAUCAAUGUUAAGGGAUCGCUUACACUUGAGAAGAACUACUGAACAGCACGUGCCCGAGGUCGAGGUCCAGGUCAAACGUCGAAGGACAGCCUCACUGAGCAACCAAGAGUGUCACUUGUACCCACGACGUUCUCAGCAACAGCAAGUUCCUGUGGUGGAUUUCCAGGCAGAACUAAGACAGGCAUUCUUAGCUGAGACACCAAGAGGUGGUUAAAGCAGUAUUGCAACUUCAAGGUGGUGGAAUUCAAGGAAAACAGGACCCAUCCUCUGUCUGUGAAACUUUGGUCAAGCUUACAUUGUUUGUUAAUAGCCUGCAUCGAACCUUUAUUUAUAUCCCUUCCCCGAGUAUUAAGGAUCUUGAAAUUUUAGUGUUGACAACGGCUAUUGUGGAACAGCAAUCAUGACUGUGGGUAAGAGUAGCAAGAUGCUGCAGCACAUUGACUAUAGGAUGAGAUGUAUCCUGCAAGAUGGGAGAAUCUUCAUUGGCACCUUCAAGGCUUUUGACAAGCAUAUGAAUUUGAUCCUCUGUGAUUGUGAUGAGUUCAGGAAGAUCAAGCCAAAGAAUGCAAAACAGCCAGAACGUGAAGAAAAACGGGUUUUGGGUCUGGUCUUGCUACGUGGGGAGAACUUGGUUUCAAUGACUGUGGAGGGCCCACCUCCUAAAGAUACUGGCAUUGCUCGUGUGCCUCUUGCUGGCGCUGCAGGUGGCCCUGGGGUUGGAAGAGCAGCUGGCAGAGGAGUGCCAGCAGGUGUACCUAUUCCCCAGGCUCCUGCUGGAUUAGCAGGCCCUGUCAGAGGAGUUGGAGGCCCAUCCCAGCAGGUCAUGACCCCACAGGGAAGAGGCACUGUUGCAGCUGCUGCUGUUGCUGCUACUGCUAGCAUUGCAGGAGCCCCAACCCAGUACCCGCCAGGACGGGGAACUCCACCUCCACCUGUAGGCAGAGCAACCCCACCUCCAGGCAUUAUGGCUCCUCCACCUGGUAUGAGACCACCCAUGGGCCCACCCAUUGGGCUUCCCCCUGCUCGUGGGACACCUAUAGGCAUGCCUCCUCCAGGAAUGAGACCCCCUCCACCAGGAAUUAGAGGCCCACCUCCCCCAGGAAUGCGCCCACCAAGACCCUAAGAUACAGUUGAUAAAUCUCAGCCCUUCUCUUCCCCUACAAUGCUUCUUGUGAAAUUGUGUACCUGCAAGCUUUUUGACCCCUCUUACUGCAUUAACUAUAGAUAAUAAAUACAUAGAGCAAUUCAAUUGGGGUUUUUCUUUGUCUGCUGAUUUUGUUAAAGUUAGAGUGAAACCAAAUGUGUUUCAGUGGUGAAAUUAUUGUUAAAGAUUACUAUAUUAAGUUUAUAUUAACUAAACACAGAUAUGACAUUUGCUCAAGCUAGGUUCUUAGGAUCAGAUAGUUGAAAUAUUUUCCUGAUUUCUGACAUUCACUUCAAGCAUUGGUUCAAAAUCUUACAGAUAAGGAAAAUCAAGAUCCAUUUGCUAAGAUUUACAAGCCAUUCCGGUUCAAUUAAAUAUGUUUCACUUAAAGGUGUGUGAAGAUAUUUAAGCAGAUAUUUAAAUUCACAUCAUUUAUGGCACUGGUAUGUCAUUAUUGCUUAUGAAUUAAAACAUGGAAUGCAAGGUAUUUUCCAAUCUUCCAAACAUGCUCUAUUACUUAGCAGUCUAUAAUUAUGUUUACAACUAUACAUACAUCCAUAUACACACAUACACAUGCAUUCCAUGCAUGCAUGCGCACACACACACACACACACACACACAGACAUCUAUCAUGUACUGGGUCUAUUUUGGUUUUAGUUUGUACAUUUGUUUAGGUGCAUUAAUUGGUAUUAAAUAAAUUAUAAAAUGAUUUUCCUGAAGAAGACUUAUUCUCAGAAGUCAAUGAUAGUUCAUCUGUGUGGGGCCUUAUGAAAUUUCCAGUAUCCGUGUCAGUAUGUCUGCUGAUGGUAUUGCACAGCUUCUUUCAUGUCUAGGAGUUGCUAAUUAACCCUCCCUCCCAUAAUCUGGAGGUUGGUAAACAGGAGGCUCUGAUAUUUGGAUGUGAGUGAUGACCACAAAUUUGAAGAAAAUCUAUGAUCUUAUUCUUGAACUAAAAGUGACCACUCAGAGUUCAUGACUGAAGAAAGAAAUUUUCAGUGAAUGUUAUGAAGUUUCAUGACUUGACUACCACCCUGUAGUAUUAUAACAAAGCUGUAAAUCCUAAUAUCGCAGCUUAAGACAGAAACAUAAACCAUCCAAGCAAGAUGAAAUGUCCUUGGAUCACAAAAGGCCUGGUGACAUGGAUCCUCAUAAAAUGGCGUUCCCAACUCAUGAAAAAAAUGGAGAGCCACCUUUCUAGAUUUGUAAGGUAUAUGAAUCAGGAGGAAAGGGUAAUGUUUAUGGAGCAUGUACAUUGUGGAAUGUGUAAUAAUUGAAGAUUUGUGCAAGUCAAUUAAACUAUACAUGCUUGGAAAUUGCCACAUGGGACCAUCUUGAAUGAACAGUUUAUGCAAACAGAAAACAUGUUCAGGAAGAAUGUUAAAAUUUUAACACUUGUAAAUAGAAAGAAGAUGACAUUUGCCUGUCUUUGUAAUUUAUGAGGGUAUUUGCAAAUAAGCAUCAAAACAAGAAGAAAAUAUUAAAAAGACAUUUUGUGCCAGGACAUCAUGGUAGUGCUGGAUUGCCUAUCCAACUCUGUAUAAAGGUUUUUCAAACAAUUUGUGAAGAAUGUUAGUAUCUUCAGAGUCUUCUGCAUCAGCAAAGAGUAGUGCAUUAACUAAUGGAAAAGAGAAGAUAAAAUUUCUGGUGCUCAUGAUGACUAGUCCGAACCUGUGAACUUCUGAGAAAAUUUACAGUUCUGAAAACUAGAGGUGGUUACCGAAUUGAAUAGCCGUUGGUUCUACAGCCACUAUAAUGAUCUGAAAAGUUGAAUGUGUUGCAUGAACACUUUCAGGAAUCAUAAUAGAACUCAGCUAAUUAGAUAGAGACUGGAAUGUUGAUUUGAAGACAAUUACUUUAUAAAGAUUUUCUCAUUGCUGCUUUUGCAUUAUCCCAAGAAGUGGAGACACUACUACAUGGAUAAGAACUGUAUGAUUGAAUUGACUUUGGAAUCAUCUCAGUAUUGUCAUAAAAUAUUCACUGUAUGUAGUCAAUUUUUUCCUCAGAGUUGAUGGUUAUAAAUACUUGUCAAGUUGGAAAAAUUCACUUUUACUUUUAUUUGCAUCACACUUACUAGAUUAGAGACUAGAUUGCUUUAAAUUGAGUCUUCAUUUACAACUUCAAGGAUUCAGUUAUUCGUGGGUGCGAGGGGGACCACAAACCUGGAAGGAAAUGGGAGGAAGAAAAAGAGAAACAGGAGACCAAGAAGAUGGUACCUAUCAAGGUCUCGUUUAUUGGGCUGAGGAAUUUUCCAGUACCUGUAAUUUCUCCAUUCUUGACUCUGCCUUAAAUUCAACUAGACAGCUGGCUUUUAAGACCGACUUGAGUAUUCUGGGAUUACAGUCAAAUAUUACAACACCAGGUUUAUUUGGUUCCAGCAUUCAAAUUCAGAGAUUUCCCCAGGCUGGACAACUGCUAAAUCAACUGAACUACUAUAUCUCUAGCUAAAGGUCCUGGCUAUUAUAAAUAAGGCUGCUAUGAACAUAGUGGAGCAUGUGUCCUUCUUACCAGUUGGGACAUCUUCUGGAUAUAUUCUGGCUACAUUCUGAGCAUAAAUGUGGUUUUUCUCUGAUCCAGGAGUAGUGUGGCCCAACUCUACUCCUAUCUACUUAAAAGACAACACAGGAGGCCUGCACAUUUGAGGUCACCUUGACAACACUGAAACCUCUUCUUCCCAUCUCAACAAUAAAAAGGGUUGCAUUCCCUUUCCAGUAUGGUACAUGGAAAACAUGCAGAGGAAAUGGCCCCACAGCAUUGGCUGAGUGUUUAUGUCGUCCAACCGAGUCUCCAUCGAACAGUUGUGGUAUGGUGACUUGGCCUAGGUCACCUGAGUUAAAAGGGCUGCAUUCCCUUUCUAGUAUGGUCCAUGAAAAACAUGCAGAGGAAAUGGCCCCAAAGCAUUGGCUGAGAGUUUAUGUCGUCCAACUGAGUCUCCAUUGAACUGUUGUGGUGUUGCUGACUUGCCCUAGGUCACCUGAGUUAAAAGGGUUGCAUUCCCUUUCCAGUAUGAUCCAUAGAAAACAUGCAGAGGAAAUGGCCCCACAGCAUUGGCUGAGUGUUUAUGUCGUCCAACUGAGUCUCCAUCGAACUGUUGUGGUGUUGCUGACUUGCCCUAGGUCACCUGAGUUAAAAGGGUUGCAUUCCCUUUCCAGUAUGAUCCAUAGAAAACAUGCAGAGGAAAUGGCCCCACAGCAUUGGCUGAGUGUUUAUGUCGUCCAACUGAGUCUCCAUCGAACUGUUGUGGUGUUGCUGACUUGCCCUAGGUCACCUGAGUUAAAAGGGUUGCAUUCCCUUUCCAGUAUGGUCCAUGGAAAACAUGCAGAGGAAAUGGCCCCACAGCAUUGGCUGAGUGUUUAUGUCGACCAACUUAGUCUCCAUCGACCUGUUGUGGUGUUGCUGACUUGCCCUAGGUCACCUGAGUUAAAUGGGUUGCAUUCCCUUUCCAGUAUGGUCCAUGGAAAACAUGCAGAGGAAAUGGCCCCACAGCAUUGGCUGAGAGUUUAUGUCGUCCAACUGAGUCUCCAUCGAACUGUUGUGGUGUUGCUGACUUGCCCUAGGUCACCUGAGUUAAAUGGGUUGCAUUCCCUUUCCAGUAUGGUCCAUGGAAAACAUGCAGAGGAAAUGGCCCCACAGCAUUGGCUGAGUGUUUAUGUCGUCCAACUGAGUCUCCAUCGAACUGUUGUGGUGUUGCUGACUUGCCCUAGGUCACCUGAGUUAAAUGGGUUGCAUUCCCUUUCCAGUAUGAUCCAUAGAAAACAUGCAGAGGAAAUGGCCCCACAGCAUUGGCUGAGAGUUUAUGUCGUCCAACUGAGUCUCCAUCGAACUGUUGUGGUGUUGCUGACUUGCCCUAGGUCACCUGAGUUAAAUGGGUUGCAUUCCCUUUCCAGUAUGGUCCAUGGAAAACAUUCAGAGGAAAUGGCCCCACAGCAUUGGCUGAGUGUUUAUGUCGACCAACUUAGUCUCGAUCGACCUGUUGUGGUGUUGCUGACUUGCCCUAGGUCACCUGAGUUAAAUGGGUUGCAUUCCCUUUCCAGUAUGGUCCAUGGAAAACAUGCAGAGGAAAUGGCCCCACAGCAUUGGCUGAGAGUUUAUGUCGUCCAACUGAGUCUCCAUCGAACUGUUGUGGUGUUGCUGACUUGCCCUAGGUCACCUGAGUUAAAUGGGUUGCAUUCCCUUUCCAGUAUGGUCCAUGGAAAACAUGCAGAGGAAAUGGCCCCACAGCAUUGGCUGAGUGUUUAUGUCGUCCAACUGAGUCUCCAUCGAACUGUUGUGGUGUUGCUGACUUGCCCUAGGUCACCUGAGUUAAAUGGGUUGCAUUCCCUUUCCAGUAUGAUCCAUAGAAAACAUGCAGAGGAAAUGGCCCCACAGCAUUGGCUGAGAGUUUAUGUCGUCCAACUGAGUCUCCAUCGAACUGUUGUGGUGUUGCUGACUUGCCCUAGGUUACCUGAGUUAAAUGGGUUGCAUUCCCUUUCCAGUAUGGUCCAUGGAAAACAUUCAGAGGAAAUGGCCCCACAGCAUUGGCUGAGUGUUUAUGUCGACCAACUUAGUCUCGAUCGACCUGUUGUGGUGUUGCUGACUUGCCCUAGGUCACCUGAGUUAAAUGGGUUGCAUUCCCUUUCCAGUAUGGUCCAUGGAAAACAUGCAGAGGAAAUGGCCCCACAGCAUUGGCUGAGAGUUUAUGUCGUCCAACUGAGUCUCCAUUGAACUGUUGUGGAGUUGCUGACUUGCCCUAGGGCACCUGAGUUAAAUGGGUUGCAUUCCCUUUCCAGUAUGGUCCAUGGAAAACAUGCAGAGGAAAUGGCCCCACAGCAUUGGCUGAGUGUUUAUGUCGUCCAACUGAGUCUCCAUCGAACUGUUGUGGUGUUGCUGACUUGCCCUAGGUCACCUGAGUUAAAUGGGUUGCAUUCCCUUUCCAGUAUGGUCCAUGGAAAACAUGCAGAGGAAAUGGCCCCACAGCAUUGGCUGAGUGUUUAUGUCGUCCAACUGAGUCUCCAUCGAACUGUUGUGGUGUUGCUGACUUGCCCUAGGUCACCUGAGUUAAAUGGGUUGCAUUCCCUUUCCAGAAUGGUCCAUGGAAAACAUGCAGAGGAAAUGGCCCCACAGCAUUGGCUGAGUGUUUAUGUCGUCCAACUGAGUCUCCAUCGAACUGUUGUGGUGUUGCUGACUUGCCCUAGGUCACCUGAGUUAAAUGGGUUGCAUUCCCUUUCCAGUAUGGUCCAUGGAAAACAUGCAGAGGAAAUGGCCCCACAGCAUUGGCUGAGUGUUUAUGUCGUCCAACUGAGUCUCCAUCGAACUGUUGUGGUGUUGCUGACUUGCCCUAGGUCACCUGAGUUAAAUGGGUUGCAUUCCCUUUCCAGUAUGGUCCAUGGAAAACAUGCAGAGGAAAUGGCCCCACCACAUUGGCUGAGUGUUUAUGUCGUCCAACUGAGUCUCCAUCGAACUGUUGUGGUGUUGCUGACUUGCCCUAGGUCACCUGAGUUAAAUGGGUUGCAUUCCCUUUCCAGUAUGGUCCAUGGAAAACAUGCAGAGGAAAUGGCCCCACAGCAUUGGCUGAGUGUUUAUGUCGUGCAACUGAGUCUCCAUCGAACUGUUGUGGUGUUGCUGACUUGCCCUAGGUCACCUGAGUUAAAUGGGUUGCAUUCCCUUUCCAGUAUGGUCCAUGGAAAACAUGCAGAGGAAAUGGCCCCACAGCAUUGGCUGAGUGUUUAUGUCGUGCAACUGAGUCUCCAUCGAACUGUUGUGGUGUUGCUGACUUGCCCUAGGUCACCUGAGUUAAAUGGGUUGCAUUCCCUUUCCAGUAUGGUCCAUGGAAAACAGCAGAGGAAAUGGCCCCACAGCAUUGGCUGAGUGUUUAUGUCGUGCAACUGAGUCUCCAUCGAACUGUUGUGGUGUUGCUGACUUGCCCUAGGUCACCUGAGUUAAAUGGGUUGCAUUCCCUUUCCAGUAUGGUCCAUGGAAAACAUGCAGAGGAAAUGGCCCCACAGCAUUGGCUGAGUGUUUAUGUCGUCCAACUGAGUCUCCAUCGAACUGUUGUGGUGUUGCUGACUUGCCCUAGGUCACCUGAGUUAAAUGGGUUGCAUUCCCUUUCCAGUAUGGUCCAUGGAAAACAUGCAGAGGAAAUGGCCCCACCACAUUGGCUGAGUGUUUAUGUCGUCCAACUGAGUCUCCAUCGAACUGUUGUGGUGUUGCUGACUUGCCCUAGGUCACCUGAGUUAAAUGGGUUGCAUUCCCUUUCCAGUAUGGUCCAUGGAAAACAUGCAGAGGAAAUGGCCCCACAGCAUUGGCUGAGUGUUUAUGUCGUGCAACUGAGUCUCCAUCGAACUGUUGUGGUGUUGCUGACUUGCCCUAGGUCACCUGAGUUAAAUGGGUUGCAUUCCCUUUCCAGUAUGGUCCAUGGAAAACAUGCAGAGGAAAUGGCCCCACAGCAUUGGCUGAGUGUUUAUGUCGUGCAACUGAGUCUCCAUCGAACUGUUGUGGUGUUGCUGACUUGCCCUAGGUCACCUGAGUUAAAUGGGUUGCAUUCCCUUUCCAGUAUGGUCCAUGGAAAACAUGCAGAGGAAAUGGCCCCACCACAUUGGCUGAGUGUUUAUGUCGUCCAACUGAGUCUCCAUCGAACUGUUGUGGUGUUGCUGACUUGCCCUAGGUCACCUGAGUUAAAUGGGUUGCAUUCCCUUUCCAGUAUGGUCCAUGGAAAACAUGCAGAGGAAAUGGCCUCACAGCAUUGGCUGAGUGUUUAUGUCGUCCAACUGAGUCUCCAUCGAACUGUUGUGGUGUUGCUGACUUGCCCUAGGUCACCUGAGUUAAAUGGGUUGCAUUCCCUUUCCAGUAUGGUCCAUGGAAAACAUGCAGAGGAAAUGGCCCCACAGCAUUGGCUGAGAGUUUAUGUCGUCCAACUGAGUCUACAUUGAACUGUUGUGGUGUUGCUGACUUGCCCUAGGUCACCUGAGUUAAAUGGGUUGCAUUCCCUUUCCAGUAUGGUCCAUGGAAAACAUGCAGAGGAAAUGGCCCCACAGCAUUGGCUGAGAGUUUAUGUCCUCCAACUGAGUCUCCAUUGAACUGUUGUGGUGUUGCUGACUUGCCCUAGGUCACCUGAGUUAAAUGGGUUGCAUUCCCUUUCCAGUAUGGUCCAUGGAAAACAUGCAGAGGAAAUGGCCCCACAGCAUUGGCUGAGAGUUUAUGUCGUCCAACUGAGUCUCCAUUGAAAUGUUGUGGUGUUGCUGACUUGCCCUAGGUCACCUGAGUUAAAUGGGUUGCAUUCCCUUUCCAGUAUGGUCCAUGGAAAACAUGCAGAGGAAAUGGCCCCACAGCAUUGGCUGAGUGUUUAUGUCGUCCAACUGAGUCUCCAUCGAACUGUUGUGGUGUUGCUGACUUGCCCUAGGUCACCUGAGUUAAAUGGGUUGCAUUCCCUUUCCAGUAUGGUCCAUGGAAAACAUGCAGAGGAAAUGGCCCCACAGCAUUGGCUGAGUGUUUAUGUCGUCCAACUGAGUCUCCAUCGAACUGUUGUGGUGUUGCUGACUUGCCCUAGGUCACCUGAGUUAAAUGGGUUGCAUUCCCUUUCCAGUAUGGUCCAUGGAAAACAUGCAGAGGAAAUGGCCCCACAGCAUUGGCUGAGUGUUUAUGUCGUCCAACUGAGUCUCCAUCGAACUGUUGUGGUGUUGCUGACUUGCCCUAGGUCACCUGAGUUAAAUGGGUUGCAUUCCCUUUCCAGUAUGGUCCAUGGAAAACAUGCAGAGGAAAUGGCCCCACAGCAUUGGCUGAGUGUUUAUGUCGUCCAACUGAGUCUCCAUCGAACUGUUGUGGUGUUGCUGACUUGCCCUAGGUCACCUGAGUUAAAUGGGUUGCAUUCCCUUUCCAGUAUGGUCCAUGGAAAACAUGCAGAGGAAAUGGCCCCACAGCAUUGGCUGAGUGUUUAUUUCGUACAACUGAGUCUCCAUCGAACUGUUGUGGUGUUGCUGACUUGCCCUAGGUCACCUGAGUUAAAUGGGUUGCAUUCCCUUUCCAGUAUGGUCCAUGGAAAACAUGCAGAGGAAAUGGCCCCACAGCAUUGGCUGAGUGUUUAUUUCGUACAACUGAGUCUCCAUCGAACUGUUGUGGUGUUGCUGACUUGCCCUAGGUCACCUGAGUUAAAUGGGUUGCAUUCCCUUUCCAGUAUGGUCCAUGGAAAACAUGCAGAGGAAAUGGCCUCACAGCAUUGGCUGAGUGUUUAUGUCGUCCAACUGAGUCUCCAUCGAACUCUUGUGGUGUUGCUGACUUGCCCUAGGUCACCUGAGUUAAAUGGGUUGCAUUCCCUUUCCAGUAUGGUCCAUGGAAAACAUGCAGAGGAAAUGGCCCCACAGCAUUGGCUGAGUGUUUAUGUCGUCCAACUGAGUCUCCAUCGAACUGUUGUGGUGUUGCUGACUUGCCCUAGGUCACCUGAGUUAAAUGGGUUGCAUUCCCUUUCCAGUAUGGUCCAUGGAAAACAUGCAGAGGAAAUGGCCCCACAGCAUUGGCUGAGUGUUUAUGUCGUCCAACUGAGUCUCCAUCGAACUGUUGUGGUGUUGCUGACUUGCCCUAAGUCACCUGAGUUAAAAGGGUUGCAUUCCCUUUCCAGUAUGGUCCAUGGAAAACAUGCAGAGGAAAUGGCCCCACAGCAUUGGCUGAGUGUUUAUGUCGUCCAACUGAGUCUCCAUCGAACUGUUGUGGUGUUGCUGACUUGCCCUAGGUCACCUGAGUUAAAUGGGUUGCAUUCCCUUUCCAGUAUGGUCCAUGGAAAACAUGCAGAGGAAAUGGCCCCACAGCAUUGGCUGAGUGUUUAUGUCGUCCAACUGAGUCUCCAUCGAACUGUUGUGGUGUUGCUGACUUGCCCUAGGUCACCUGAGUUAAAUGGGUUGCAUUCCCUUUCCAGUAUGGUCCAUGGAAAACAUGCAGAGGAAAUGGCCCCACAGCAUUGGCUGAGUGUUUAUGUCGUCCAACUGAGUCUCCAUCGAACUGUUGUGGUGUUGCUGACUUGCCCUAGGUCACCUGAGUUAAAUGGGUUGCAUUCCCUUUCCAGUAUGGUCCAUGGAAAACAUGCAGUGGAAAUGGCCCCACAGCAUUGGCUGAGUGUUUAUGUCGUCCAACUGAGUCUCCAUCGAACUGUUGUGGUGUUGCUGACUUGCCCUAGGUCACCUGAGUUAAAUGGGUUGCAUUCCCUUUCCAGUAUGGUCCAUGGAAAACAUGCAGAGGAAAUGGCCCCACAGCAUUGGCUGAGUGUUUAUGUCAUCCAACCGAGUCUCCAUCGAACUGUUGUGGUGUUGCUGACUUGCCCUAGGUCACUUGAGUUAAAUGGGUUGCAUUCCCUUUCCAGUAUGGUCCAUGGAAAACAUGCAGAGGAAAUGGCCCCACAGCAUUGGCUGAGUGUUUAUGUCAUCCAACCGAGUCUCCAUCGAACUGUUGUGGUGUUGCUGACUUGCCCUAGGUCACUUGAGUUAAAUGGGUUGGAUUCCCUUUCCAGUAUGGUCCAUGGAAAACAUGCAGAGGAAAUGGCCCCACAGCAUUGGCUGAGUGUUUAUGUCAUCCAACCGAGUCUCCAUCGAACUGUUGUGGUGUUGCUGACUUGCCCUAGGUCACUUGAGUUAAAUGGGUUGGAUUCCCUUUCCAGUAUGGUCCAUGGAAAACAUGCAGAGGAAAUGGCCCCACAGCAUUGGCUGAGUGUUUAUGUCAUCCAACCGAGUCUCCAUCGAACUGUUGUGGUGUUGCUGACUUGCCCUAGGUCACCUGAGUUAAAUGGGUUGCAUUCCCUUUCCAGUAUGGUCCAUGGACAACAUGCAGAGGAAAUGGCCCCACAGCAUUGGCUGAGUGUUUAUGUCGUCCAACCGAGUCUCCAUCGAACUGUUGUGGUGUUGCUGACUUGCCCUAGGUCACCUGAGUUAAAAGGGUUUCAUUCCCUUUCCAGUAUGGUUCAUGGAAAACGUGCAGAGGAAAUUGCCCCACAGCAUUGGCUGAGUGUUUAUGUCGUCCAACCGAGUCUCCAUCCAACUGUUGUGGUGUUGCUGACUUGCCCUAGGUCACCUGAGUUAAAAGUGUUUCAUUCCCUUUCCAGUAUGGUUCAUGGAAAACAUGCAGAGGAAAUUGCCCCACAGCAUUGGCUGAGUGUUUAUGUCGUCCAACCGAGUCUCCAUCGAACUGUUGUGGUGUUGCUGACUUGCCCUAGGUCACCUGAGUUAAAAGGGUUGCAUUCCCUUUCCAGUAUGGUCCAUGGAAAACAUGCAGAGGAAAUGGCCCCACAGCAUUGUCUGAGUGUUUAUGUUGUCCAACCGAGUCUCCAUCGAACUGUUGUGGUGUUGCUGAUUUGCCCUAGGUCACCUGAGUUAAAAGGGUUGCAUUCCCUUUCCAGUAUGUUCCAUGGUAAACAUGCAGAGGAAAUGGCCCCACAGCAUUGGAUGAGUGUUUAUGUCGUCCAACCGAGUCUCCAUCGAACUGUUGUGGUGUUGCUGACUUGCCCUAGGUCACCUGAGUUAAAAGGGUUGCAUUCCCUUUCCAGUAUGGUCCAUGGAAAACAUGCAGAGGAAAUGGCCCCACAGCAUUGGCUGAGUGUUUAUGUCGUCCAACCGAGUCUCCAUCGAACUGUUGUGGUGUUGCUGACUUGCCCUAGGUCACCUGAGUUAAAAGGGUUGCAUUCCCUUUCCAGUAUGGUCCAUGGAAAACAUGCAGAGGAAAUGGCCCCACAGCAUUGGCUGAGUGUUUAUGUCGUCCAACCGAGUCUCCAUCGAACUGUUGUGGUGUUGCUGACUUGCCCUAGGUCACCUGAGUUAAAAGGGUUGCAUUCCCUUUCCAGUAUGGUCCAUGGAAAACAUGCAGAGGAAAUGGCCCCACAGCAUUGGCUGAGUGUUUAUGUCGUCCAACCGAGUCUCCAUCGAACUGUUGUGGUGUUGCUGACUUGCCCUAGGUCACCUGAGUUAAAAGGGUUGCAUUCCCUUUCCAGUAUGGUCCAUGGAAAACAUGCAGAGGAAAUGGCCCCACAGCAUUGGCUGAGUGUUUAUGUCGUCCAACCGAGUCUCCAUCGAACUGUUGUGGUGUUGCUGACUUGCCCUAGGUCACCUGAGUUAAAAGGGUUGCAUUCCCUUUCCAGCAUGGUCCAUGGAAAACAUGCAGAGGAAAUGGCCUCACAGCAUUGGCUGAGUGUUUAUGUCGUCCAACUGAGUCUCCAUCGAACUUUUCUGGUGUUGCUGACUUGCCCUAGGUCACCUGAGUUAAAAGGGUUGCAUUCCCUUUCCAGUAUGGUCCAUGGAAAACAUGCAGAGGAAAUGGCCCCACAGCAUUGGCUGAGUGUUUAUGUCUUCCAACCGAGUCUCCAUUGAACUGUUGUGGUGUUGCUGACUUGCCCUAGGUCACCUGAGUUAAAUGGGUUGCAUUCCCUUUCCAGUAUGGUCCAUGGAAAACAUGCAGAGGAAAUGGCCCCACAGCAUUGGCUGAGUGUUUAUAUCUUCCAACCGAGUCUCCAUCGAACUGUUGUGGUGUUGCUGACUUGGCCUAGGUCACCUGAGUUAAAAGGGUUGCAUUCCCUUUCCAGUAUGGUCCAUGGAAAACAUGCAGAGGAAAUGGCCCCACAGCAUUGGCUGAGUGUUUAUGUCAUCCAACCGAGUCUCCAUCGAACUGUUGUGGUGUUGCUGACUUGCCCUAGGUCACUUGAGUUAAAUGAGAUGCAUUCCUUUUCCUUCAUGGGCCAUGAGUGACAUCCAGAGAAAGUGUCACCACAACACUGGACAAAAGUUGAUGAUAUCUGAAUGAGCUACCAGUAAACCCCCCCCUUUUUUUGCUGUUAUUGCCUUGCCUGAGGAAAAGCGAGUUAAAAGAUGAUACCUACAGUGAUGAGUUGGAGUUAUAGAUGGUGCCAUUUCUUCUACCAGCAGCUUCACCAAAACAAUCUCCAUUAUACAUGCUGAUGCCUCUUUCCUGUGUAGCAGCAGACACCACCUGCAGAUAAGAAAUGCUUAAGGAAAACAUACUUUCAAGUAUCAAAAAAGGGUGCCCUUGCUUCCAUCUAAAAUAUUUCGACCCUGCAACCCUCUCCAGUUACAUGUGACCAUUCCUAACUCUGAAGCAAUUUUGGAAAGGAAGUCAUCUCACAUGCCUACUGUGAAGGCAGAGAACCACAGAUAAUCAGGCAGAGAAACACAGAUAAUCAGGGAAGACAUUCUUCCAAGUAUCAAGAAAGGGAGCCCUUGCUUCCCUGGAAGACAUUUCGUCCCAGCAAUCACUCUCCAGUUCCUUGUGACCAUUCCUAUUCUGAGCCAGUUUUGGAAAGUCAUCUCACAUGCCACCUUGGAAGGCAGAGAAACACAGAUAAUCAGGGAAGACAUUCUUCCAAGUAUCAAGAAAGGGAGCCCUUGCUUCCCUGGAAGACAUUUCGUCCCAGCAAUCACUCUCCAGUUCCUUGUGACCAUUCCUACUCUGAGCCAGUUUUGGAAAGUCAUCUCACAUGCCACCUUGGAAGGCAGAGAAACACAGAUAAUCAGGGAAGACAUUCUUCCAAGUAUCAAGAAAGGGAGCCCUUGCUUCCCUGGAAGACAUUUCGUCCCAGCAAUCACUCUCCAGUUCCUUGUGACCAUUCCUACUCUGAGCCAGUUUUGGAAAGGCAGAGAAACACAGAUAAUCAGGGAAGACAUUCUUCCAAGUAUCAAGAAAGGGAGCCCUUGCUUCCCUGGAAGACAUUUCGUCCCAGGAAUCCCUCUCCAGAUCCAUGUGACCAUUCCUACUCUGAGCCAGUUUUGGAAAGUAAGUCAUCUCACAUUCCACCUUGGAAGGCAGAGAAACACAGAUAAUCAGGCAGAGAAACACAGAUAAUCAGGGAAGACAUUCUUUCAAGUAUCAAGAAAGGGAGCCCUUGCUUCCCUGGAAGACAUUUCGUCCCAACAAUCCCUCUCAAAUUCCAUAUGACCAUUCCUACUCUGAGCCAGUUUUGGAAAGGAAGUCAUCUCAUAUGCCACCUUGGAAGGCAGAGAAACACAGAUAAUCAGUCAUCUCACAUGCCACCUUGGAAGGCAGAGCAACACAAAUAAUCAGGGAAGACAUUCUUCCAAGUAUCAAGAAAGGGAGCCCUUGCUUCCCUGGAAGACAUUUCGUAAGAGCAAUUUCUCCCCAGUUCUGUGUGACCAUUCCUACUCUGAGCCAGUUUUGGAAAGGAAGUCAUCUCACAUGCCACCUUGGAAGGCAGAGAAACACAGAUAAUCAGCCAGUUUUGGAAAGGAAGGCAGAGAAACACAGAUAAUCAGGGAAGACAUUCUUCCAAGUAUCAAGAGAGGGAGCCCUUGCUUCACUGGAAGACAUUUCUUCCCAGUAAUCACUCUCCAGUUCCAUGUGACCUUUCCUAAUCUGAGCCAGUUUUGGAAAGGAAGUCAUCUCACAUGCCACCUUGGAAGGCAGAGAAACACAGAUAAUCAGGGAAGACAUUCUUCCAAGUAUCAAGAAAGGGAGCCCUUGCUUCACUGGAAGACAUUUCGUCCCAGUAAUCACUCUCCAGUUCCAUGUGACCUUUCCUAAUCUGAGCCAGUUUUGGAAAGGAAGUCAUCUCACAUGCCACCUUGGAAGGCAGAGAAACACAGAUAAUCAGGGAAGACCUUCUUCAAAGUAUCAAGAAAGGGAGCCCUUGCUUCCCUGGAAGACAUUUCGUCCCAGCAAUCCCUCUCCAGUUAAAUGUUACCAUUCCUACUCUGAGCCAGUUUUGGAAAGGAAGGUAAGUGGUUGGAUUAGGUUAGGUGAUAUCCAAGUAGAGGUAGCCGAAUUCUGUCUAGGACUGGGUCAAUGAUGACAACCCAAUGUCAUGAAGAAAGGUGAUGACAUAAAAUGCAAUCCCCAUUAAAAUUCCAACUCAAUUCUUCAACGAAUUAGAAGGAGCAAUUUGCAAAUUCAUCUGGAAUAACAAAAAACCGAGGAUAGCAAAAACUCUUCUCAAGGAUAAAAGAACCUCUGGUGGAAUCACCAUGCCUGACCUAAAGCUUUACUACAGAGCAAUUGUGAUAAAAACUGCAUGGUACUGACAUUCUUCUAAGUAUCAAGAAAGGGAGCCCUUGCUUCCCUGGAAGACAUUUCAUCCCAGCAAUCCCUCUCCAGUUCCAUGUGACCAUUCCUACUCUGAGCCAGUUUUGGAAAGGAAGGGAAGACAUUCUUCCAAGUAUCAAGAAAGAGAGCCCUUGCUUCCCUGGAAGACAUUUCGUCCCAGCAAUCACUCUCCAGUUCCAUGUGACCAUUCCUACUCUGAGCCAGUUUUGGAAAGGAAGUCAUCUCACAUGCCACCUUGGAAGGCAGAGAAACACAGAUAAUCAGGGAAGACAUUCUUCCAAGUAUCAAGAAAGGGAGCCCUUGCUUCCAUGGAAGAUAUUUCCUCCCAACAAUCCCUCUCCAGUUCAAUGUGACCAUUCCUACUCUGAGCCAGUUUUGGAAAGGAAGUCAUCUCACAUGCCACCUUGGAAGGCAGAGAAACACAGAUAAUCAGGGAAGACAUUCUUCCAAGUAUCAAGAGAGGGAGCCCUUGCUUCCCUGGAAGACAUUUCGUCCCAGCAAUCACUCUCCAGUUCCAUGUGACCAUUCCUACUCUGAGCCAGUUUUGGAAAGGAAGUCAUCUCACAUGCCACCUUGGAAGGCAGAGAAACACAGAUAAUCAGGGAAGACAUUCUUCCAAGUAUCAAGAAAGGGAGCCCUUGCUUCCAUGGAAGAUAUUUCCUACCAACAAUCCCUCUCCAGUUCCAUGUGACCAUUCCUACUCUGAGCCAGUUUUGGAAAGGAAGGCAGAGAAACACAGAUAAUCAGGGAAGACAUUCUUCCAAGUAUCAAGAAAGGGAGCCCUUGCUUCCAUGGAAGAUAUUUCCUACCAACAAUCCCUCUCCAGUUCCAUGUGACCAUUCCUACUCUGAGCCAGUUUUGGAAAGGAAGGCAGAGAAACACAGAUAAUCAGGGAAGACAUUCUUCCAAGUAUCAAGAAAGGGAGCUCUUGCUUCCAUGGAAGAUAUUUCCUCCCAACAAUCCCUCUCCAGUUCCAUGUGACCAUUCCUACUCUGAGCCAGUUCUGGAAAGGAAGGGAAGACAUUCUUCCAAGUAUCAAGAAAGGGAGCCCUUGCUUCCCUGGAAGACAUUUCGUCCCAGCAAUCACUCUCCAGGUCCAUGUGACCAUUCCUACUCUGAGCCAGUUUUGGAAAGGAAGUCAUCUCACAUGCCCCCUUGGAAGGCAGAGAAACACAGAUAAUCAGUAUUGUCCCUUGCGCAUGACAGUGUCUUUUCUGGUGUUUUGCAGUCAUCUCACAUGCCAACUUGGAAGGCAGAGAAACACAGAUAAUCAGGGAAGACAUUCUUCCAAGUAUCAUGAAAGGGAGCCCUUGCUUCCCUGGAAGACAUUUCGUCCGAGCAAUCCCUCUCCAGGUCCAUGUGACCAUUCCUACUCUGAGCCAGUUUUGGAAAGAAAGGGAAGACAUUCUUCCAAGUAUCAAGAAAGUGAGCCCUUGCUUCCCUAGAAGACAUUUCGUUCCAGCAAUCCCUCUCCAGUUCCAUGUGACCAUUCCUACUCUGAGCCAGUAUUGGAAAGAAAGUCAUCUCACAACCUUGGAAGGCAGAGAAUCACAGAUAAUCAGGGAAGACAUUCUUCCAAGUAUCAAGAAAGGGAGCCCUUCCUUCCCUAGAAGACAUUUCGUUCCAGCAAUCCCUCUCCAGUUCCAUGUGACCAUUCCUACUCUGAGCCAGUUUUGGAAAGCCACCUUGGAAGGCAGAGAAACACAGAUAAUCAGGGAAGACAUUCUUCCAAGUAUCAAGAAAGGGAGCCCUUCCUUCCCUAGAAGACAUUUCGUUCCAGCAAUCCCUCUCCAGUUCCAUGUGACCAUUCCUACUCUGAGCCAGUUUUGGAAAUUAUGUCACAAGCCACCUUGGAAGGCAGAGAAACACAGAUAAUCAGGGAAGACAAUCUUCCAAGUAUCAAGAAAGGGAGCCCUUGCUUCCCUGGAGGACAUUUCGUCCCAGCAAUCCCUCUCCAGUUCCAUGUGACCAUUCCUACUCUAAGCCAGUUUUGGAAAGGAAGUCAUCUCACAUGCCACCUUGGAAGGCAGAGAAACACAGAUAAUCAGUCAUCUCACAUGCCACCUUGGAAGGCAGAGAAACACAGAUAAUCAGGGAAGACAUUCUUCCAAGUAUCAAGAAAAGGAGCCCUUGCAACCCUGGAAGACAUUUUCUCCUAGCAAUCCCUCUCCAGUUCCAUAUGACCAUUCCUACUCUGAGCCAGUUUUGGAAAGGAGGUCAUCUCACAUGCCACCUUGGAAGGCAGAGAAACACAGAUAAUCAGGGAAGACAUUCUUCCAAGUAUCAAGAAAAGGAGCCCUUGCAACCCUGGAAGACAUUUUCUCCUAGCAAUCCCUCUCCAGUUCCAUAUGACCAUUCCUACUCUGAGCCAGUUUUGGAAAGGAGGUCAUCUCACAUGCCACCUUGGAAGGCAGAGAAACACAGAUAAUCAGGGAAGACAUUCUUCCAAGUAUCAAGAAAGGGAGCCCUUGCUUCCCUGGAGGACAUUUCGUCCCAGCGAUCCCUCUCCAUUUCCAUGUGACCAUUCCUACUCUGAGCCAGUUUUGGAAAGGAAGUCAUCUCACAUGCCACCUUGGAAGGCAGAGAAACACAGAUAAUCAGACAUUCUUCCAAGUAUCAAGAAAGGGAGCCCUAGCUUCCCUGGAGGACAUUUCGUCCCAGCGAUCCCUCUCCAUUUCCAUGUGACCAUUCCUACUCUGAGCCAGUUUUGGAAAGGAAGUCAUCUCACAUGCCACCUUGGAAGGCAGAGAAACACAGAUAAUCAGACAUUCUUCCAAGUAUCAAGAAAGGGAGCCCUAGCUUCCCUGGAGGACAUUUCGUCCCAGCGAUCCCUCUCCAUUUCCAUGUGACCAUUCCUACUCUGAGCCAGUUUUGGAAAGGAAGUCAUCUCACAUGCCACCUUGGAAGGCAGAGAAAUACAGAUAAUCAGGGAAGACAUUCUUCCAAGUAUCAAGAAAGGGAGCACUUGCUUCCCUGGAAGACAUUUCGUCAGAGCAAUCCCUCCCCAGUUCCAUGUGAACUUUCCUACUCUGAGCCAGUUUUGGAAAGGAAGUCAUCUCACAUGCCACCUUGGAAGUCAGAGAAACACAGAUAAUCAGGGAAGACAUUCUUCCAAGUAUCAAGAAAGGGAGCCCUUGCUUCCCUGGAAGACAUUACAUCCCAGCAAUUCCUCUCCAGUUCCAUGUGACCAUUCCUACUCUGAACCAGUUUUUGAAAGGAAGUCAUCUCACAUGCCACCUUGGAACGCAGAGAAAUACAGAUAAUCAGGGAAGACAUUCUUCCAAGUAUCAAGAAAGGGAGCCCUUGCUUCCCUGGAAGACAUUACAUCCCAGCAAUUCCUCACCAGUUCCAUGUGACCAUUCCUACUCUGAACCAGUUUUUGAAAGGAAGUCAUCUCACAUGCCACCUUGGAACGCAGAGAAAUACAGAUAAUCAGGUAAUCAUCUCACAUGCCACCUAGGAAGGCAGAGAAACACAGAUAAUCAGGGAAGACAUUCUUCCAAGUAUCAAGAAAGGGAGCCCUUGCUUCCCUGGAAGACAUUUCGUCAGAGCAAUCCCUCCCCAAUUCCGUGUGAACUUUCCUACUCGGAGCCAGUUUUGGAAAGGAAGUCAUCUCACAUGCCACCUUGGAAGGCAGAGAAACACAGAUAAUCAGGGAAGACAUUCUUCCAAGUAUCAAGAAAGGGAGCCCUUGCUUCCCUGGAAGACAUUUCGUCAGAGCAAUUUCUCCCCAGUUCCGUGUGACCAUUCAUACUCUGAGCCAGUUUUGGAAAGGAAGUCAUCUCACAUGCCACCUUGGAAGGCAGAGAAACACAGAUAAUCAGUCAUCUCACAUGCCACCUUGGAAGGCAGAGAACUGCAGAUAAUCAGGGAAGACAUUCUUCCAAGUUUCAAGAAAGGGUGCCCUUGCUUCUCUGGAAGGCCUUUCAUCCCUGUAUCCCUCUCCAGUUCCUUGUGACCAUUCCUAACUCUGAGGCAGUUUUGGAAAGGAAGGGAAGACAUCUUUCAAGUUUCAAGCAAGGGUGCUUUUGCUCCCUGGAAGACGUUUCUUCUCUGCAUCCUUCUUAAGUUACAUGUGACCAUUCCUCUCUCUGAGGCUGUUUUUGUAAGGAUGGUAUGCAGUUGGGUUAGGUUAGGUGAUAUCAAUGUACAGUCAGCCAUUUUCUGUCUAGGCCUUUGUCAAUGAUAACAACCCAAAAUCAUGAACAGAGGUGAUGAUAUAAAAAUCAUGCUCAAUAGGAUUACGCUGAGGCACAAAGAACUGGGUUACAAGCAGUCACUUGACACAUUGGAAACCUCUUUGGUGACUUCAAUGAGGUCCUCAGAUGCCUGUGCCUUCUUUUUCAAGAGAGGAAAUGUGGACAUCUAUGGUGUACAUUGGUUGGCAAAUGCUGCAUGACAACAAGCACCUAGUCCCACAUUCUAACCUUGGGCAUUUCUGAAAGGCCUGCCCAUUGCUCAUGACCCUGUCCUUUCUGGUGUUUUGCAAUCAUCUGACAUGCCACCUUGUAAGGCAGAGAAACACAGAUAUCAGGAAAGAUAUUCUUCAAAGUUUCAAACAAGGGUGCCCUUGCUUCCCUGGAAGAACUUUCUUGCCUGCAUCCCUCUCCAGUUACAUGUAACCAUUCCUAACUCUGAGGAAGUUUGGGAAAGGAAGUCAUAUGACAUGCCACCUUGGAAAGCAGAGAACCACAGAUAUCAGAGGCUCAGUCCAUUAUCAUCAUGCCAAGAAGCAUGGCAGUGUCCUGGUGCAGAAGAAAGAGCCAAGAAUUCUCCAUCUUGAACUGAAGGCACAGACAGGAAGAAUGUCUCUUCCACACUGGGAGGAGCUUGAGCACCAGCAGCCCUCAAAGCCUGCCUACACAAUGAUAUACUUCUUCCAACAAGACAAUAUGGACCUACACUCACUGGGCACUAAAAUUCUCCUCAGACAGGAAAACCAACUGAUCUGAUAAAUGCUCCUAGGAAAAUAGCAAGAUAUAAAGUCAACACAAAAAGGGUUGCAGAGCCCUUCAGCUCCUUGGGUGCUGUCUCUAAAAAUUCAGGUGACAACAGAUGCUGGUGAAGAUGUGGAGAAAGAAGAACACUCCUCCAUUACUGGGGGGAUUGCAAGCUUGUACAACCACUCUGGAAUUCCUCCUCUUAACUUUGGACAUCGAAAAAACAAGCUAUCCAAUCAUUUAAUUGGAGACACAUGGAUAUUAGUUGCUUCUUUUUGUUGCUUUCAAGAUUCUGUCUCUGGAUUUUGUUAACAAGCAACGUUGGGAGAACUGUUCUCAGGAUGUCUUCCAAGAUGUUAUCUACCAGCUGCAUGGUAAUUUCACUGAAACCACACAACCAGAGAUAAGAGUUCUGAAGAUUAAACUCAGUUCUUCUUGCAAGUUGAUCUACCUUCUCAGCUCGCAUACCCAAUUUUCAGAACAUCAUUCAGUGGUUCAUUAAUGAAUUCUUCAAAGGAGAUAAGUGGUUUUCGACAGUCUAGAGUUUUAACGCCAAGUUCGGUUUCUAGUGGAUCCACUCGAGGACCUUUCUUAUUUCUUCUUUCAUCUCCCAGAAGCUCCUGAAGUGUUAAUUCGCUGGACUCAGAAUUUCCAUUCAGAGGCUGAGGAAAAGAUAUUACUACUCAUGUAAACUCUACUGAAGUUAAAACUGCUACUACAACUACUACUACCUAUGACCAUUACUCAGGUUCUAACAAUUCUUAACAGAGCAACUGGAAAUUAUUACAGUCAUCAGUCAUUUAAAAACAAACAGAAGAAAGAAGCUAAGAAAGCAAAAACCACAAGCACUAAAACCUAUAUUUAUUUUCUCCCAGAAAUAGAAUUGGGAUCAUAAAAGUCUCUAGCUUCUCACCACUAGGCCAAAUGUAAAUUUCAACAAAGGCUUUACCAUUUCAGGUUAACAAAACAAAAGAUACUUAUCUUUUUGGAAAAAGGUAACAUUUUACAUAUUAAAGUUUUAGAAAGUAAUAUAUUUAUCAAAUAAUAAUGUUGAAACCACUAAUCUCUUUCACCAAAGAGUAACAUAUUAUAAUUAUUAAACAUUUAAGUUAGGAUAAUUUUAUGGUUACAUUGAUAAUACACCUCAUACAUUGCCAAUAUAUCUAACAUGUAAAAUCUUUAUUAUGAUUGCUACAUAUUAUUAAAGGUACCUAAUUCAAAAAUAAGAAACAAUAUAAAAUUCAAGUCCUCAUUGAUGGAAUGGCUUCCAAAACAUAAACCACAAAGCACUAAACUAUAUAUACUACAAACCUGUCUAUGGCCCAUUCUAGAGUAUUGAUACUUUUUAAUUUUAUGAUCUUCAAUUCUUUCUUUUAAAAAAAUGUUCUAUUUACUUAUUAGAGGUGAUGAGGGUAUUGAGCUGAGUUGAUAACCUAAAAGAAUUAAUUUUCUCCUUCUACAGUGUGAGUUUCAGUAGUUACAUGUCCCUAUCUGAGGCAGCAUGGCAAGCCAAGUUCAAUUCUUAGUCUACUAAGAAUAAGUAAAAAAGAAAACACUAACAUGGAGCUCAUUUCUCGUUAUUCUAACUGAAAAAAAUACAUGGAAUCUUCUUUAACCAUUCAAGUCUACCAAAUUUCUCUAAACUGUAACCAAAACACAGAAAAUAUCAGUAAUGAAUAAAUAGGCAGACUGUUAGAAUAUAAUGUUUUAUCUCCCUAUCAUUGAAUUAUAAAAUUAGUUAGAAAGUGCAAAUUCUACAUACAGAACAAUAUACAUCCUGCCUGAAAGAGAAUAAAGCUCUAGAUCCACACACCUUUGAUUUGCAAUGUCUUCCUUUCAGAGCACAGUCAUUAAAUCACUCUGACAUUCUAGUAAUACAAACUACUAUUCAUUGAUAUUUGUUCCACGUAGUACUCUACUUAAAAUGUUUAAAAUGUUUAUCUCCAUCUCCCCCACCCCUCUCAUGUGUGCAUAUAAAUCACUGCAAUCAGAAAUAAAAAGUUCUAAUCUGGGUAUCAACAAACAGUUAAGUAAAGAAACUUUUUUUUUUUAAGAUUCACCUGUACAUUCUAAUAUAUGUGUGCUUGAAAACUGUUUGAGACAUGGUUUCACAUAGUAGAAACAGAACUGGAAAUCAGCUCAAAAUCUUUAAAACAUAACAUUUUAUACUCCAAACAGUUUCACGCAAAAACAGAGUUGUGAUACACUAGCUGAUAACUACACCUCUAACUAAAGUGAACAAAUAUAAUUAUCAAACUGAGGGAAACAUGAUUAAGCAUAUAUAAUUCAAAAAUAUUAAAGAAGUAAAGGCAAUAAAAUUUGGAGUGAUCCACAAAAACAAAGAACCUGUAAAAAAGGAACACCCAUGGGCUAAAACAAGGCAACUAUAUCCAUUAUAUACUAGAUUUUUCCCACAGUUAGUUGCAUUCAACUAUGAUGGGAUACUAUUUUUCAUUUACUGUUACUCUGUCAUGUCCACUCUGUUGUAGAAACAUGUAUAAUUGAGCCAAUGCAAUUUUCACAUUCAAAAUAUUGAUUAGCAUUCACCUACUUAUCUACAAUGUAAACAAAUUCAUGAAAUAGGACUGGCUAUAUAUUUUUGAGUAGCAAAGCUGAAAGUUUUUUUUUCUGAUUUUUCUUUAGUCCUAUUGUGAAAGUAAUAUCAUGAAGUUGUACUAUAAUUUUAUUUCACUAAUUCAUUUAAACAUGUUUCAAGUGAUAGUGGAACUAAUCCCUGGCAAUCUGAAACAUUCAAUUACUUCCAUUAAGAGAAAAAAAUAGAUUGAACAAAAUCAAUCAUGAGGCAAAGUAGGAAAUUUGAAGAAUUUUCAAAAUAUAGAACUAUUUUUAAAAUACUAGAUGCAUUGGGGACAUAGCUUAAUCGUGAGUGCUUAUUUUUCACUCAUGAGGCUAUCCUCAGUACCAGGUAUCAGAGUAUAAAACUUUAAUUUCAUUACUGGGGAAAUAGAAGUGUGAGUAUUAAAAGUACAAGAAUAGUGCCACUUAACUUGCACAAAACAAAAUGAAACGAAACCCCACAAGAGCUGAGUAAAGACUAUUACUGGUAAGUUACGUCCCUAAGCAGUAUGAAAAUAUCUAAUUCCUGACGUAGAGAGGGCAGAAUGUAAGAAGGAAAAAAUGUAAUUUUCAGAUAACUAUUGCAAAAUUUUACCC
This 24206-nucleotide long non-coding RNA is filed under the name Mus musculus (house mouse). RNAcentral describes it as "small nucleolar RNA host gene 14 (Snhg14)". The stretch from base 20269 to 20347 matches the Rfam family "Small nucleolar RNA SNORD115". The record is from RNAcentral. Lineage: Eukaryota; Metazoa; Chordata; Mammalia; Rodentia; Muridae.